CGCAGCCACGGGAAUACAGAGGGUGCGAGCGUUAAUCGGAUUUACUGGGCGUAAAGCGUGCGUAGGCGGCUUCUUAAGUCGGAUGUGAAAUCCCUGAGCUUAACUUAGGAAUUGCAUUCGAUACUGGGAAGCUAGAGUAUGGGAGAGGAUGGUAGAAUUCCAGGUGUAGCGGUGAAAUGCGUAGAGAUCUGGAGGAAUACCGAUGGCGAAGGCAGCCAUCUGGCCUAAUACUGACGCUGAGGUACGAAAGCAUGGGGAGCAAACAGGAUUAGAUACCCCUGUAGUCCCUGUCUCUUAUACC
Molecule: ribosomal RNA, 301 nt
Filed under: uncultured bacterium
Lineage: Bacteria
Description: partial 16S ribosomal RNA
Rfam family: Bacterial small subunit ribosomal RNA
Source: RNAcentral